This 401-nucleotide ribosomal RNA is filed under the name uncultured bacterium. RNAcentral's name for it is "bacterial SSU rRNA". It matches the Rfam family "Bacterial small subunit ribosomal RNA", at positions 355 to 773 of the family's 1533-position model. The record is from RNAcentral.
UCGGGAAUUUUGGGCAAUGGGCGCAAGCCUGACCCAGCAACGCCGCGUGAGGGAUGAAGUAUUUCGGUAUGUAAACCUCGAAAGAAUGGGAAGAAUAAAUGACGGUACCAUUUAUAAGCUCCGGCUAACUACGUGCCAGCAGCCGCGGUAAUACGUAGGGAGCAAGCGUUGUUCGGAUUUACUGGGCGUAAAGGGCGCGUAGGCGGCGCGGUAAGUCACUUGUGAAAUCUCUGAGCUUAACUCAGAACGGCCAAGUGAUACUGCUGUGCUAGAGUGCGGAAGAGGCAACCGGAAUUCUCGGUGUAGCAGUGAAAUGCGUAGAUAUCAAGAGGAACACCUGAGGCGAAGGCGGGUUGCUGGGCCGACACUGACGCUGAUGCGCGAAAGCCAGGGGAGCAAAC